RNA transcript from Macadamia integrifolia, 5409 nucleotides. It is a transcript of the gene named myosin-17-like, with no coding region annotated. Lineage: Eukaryota; Viridiplantae; Streptophyta; Magnoliopsida; Proteales; Proteaceae. The transcript has 39 exons. The record is from RefSeq and is a predicted model, not a curated record.
UGUCCCACCGGCUUUCCUAGGAAACCAGAGAAGAGAAAAGAGAGAGAGGAGAGAGAGAGAGAGAGAUUCGGGAGAGAGAAACUUUGGACUUUAGAGAGAGACAGAGAGCGACUGGAAGACUGUUUUUGUAUGCUAACUUCAGAAACUCAUAUGGAGAGAGAGAGGUCUGAGAUAGGAGGGGAAUGCUCCCAACUUUCUUCUGUGUUCAAAAAUUAUUUCGGAUCUUCUGAAAAUGUGCAGCGAUAAGAACAGCUCUCAUUCUCUUCUCUUCGAUCUGAGUUUUUGAGUUUCAGUCCUCCACGUGUGUUCACCGGUAAUUCUUUCGGAUGUGAUAGAGAAGGAGAUCGAUCUUCCAAUCGCCAAUGGUGGCGCCAGUUAAUAUUAUUCUAGGUUCUCAUGUAUGGGCUGAAGACCCAGCAUUGGCCUGGAUUGAUGGUGAAGUUUUUCGGAUUGAUGGUCAAGAUAUUCAUGUUAAGACUACAAGUGGAAAAACGGUUGUCACGAAUGUGUCCAAAGUGUUUCCGAAGGACACUGAAGCCCCACCUGGAGGGGUAGAUGACAUGACAAAACUUUCAUAUUUGCAUGAGCCUGGAGUUCUGCAAAACCUGGCCACUAGAUAUGAACUUAAUGAAAUCUACACAUACACUGGGAAUAUCCUUAUUGCAAUAAAUCCAUUUCAAAGAUUACCUCAUCUGUAUGAUACCCAUAUGAUGCAACAAUAUAAAGGAGCAGCUUUUGGGGAGUUAAGCCCUCAUGUUUUUGCAGUUGCAGAUGUUGCGUACAGGGCAAUGAUUAAUGAAGGGAAAAGUAACUCCAUUCUAGUCAGUGGAGAAAGUGGUGCUGGUAAAACUGAGACGACGAAAAUGCUCAUGAGAUAUCUUGCAUACAUGGGUGGGCGAUCUGGAACUGAAGGACGGACAGGUGAACAACAAGUUCUGGAAUCAAACCCUGUUCUUGAAGCAUUCGGCAAUGCGAAAACUGUUCGGAACAACAACUCAAGUCGUUUUGGUAAAUUUGUUGAGAUCCAAUUCGACAAGAGUGGGAGAAUAUCAGGGGCAGCUAUUCGGACAUACCUUCUUGAAAGGUCUCGGGUUUGCCAAAUAUCAGAUCCUGAAAGAAACUACCAUUGCUUUUACCUUCUUUGUGCAGCACCAUCAGAGGACAUCGUGAAAUAUAAGUUGGGAAAUCUUAAAUCUUUUCAUUAUCUAAACCAGUCCAGUUGCUAUGAGCUUGAUGGAGUAAAUGAUGCCCAUGAAUAUCUUGCAACCAGAAGGGCAAUGGAUAUUGUUGGGAUAAGCAAGCAAGAACAGGAAGCAAUUUUCAGGGUUGUAGCUGCGAUUCUUCAUCUUGGAAAUAUUGAAUUUGCAAAGGGAAAGGAGAUAGACUCCUCUGUCAUCAAGGAUGAGAAGUCCAGAUUUCAUCUUAAUAUGACAGCUGAACUUCUUAUGUGCAACACCCCAGGCUUAGAAGAUGCAUUGAUUAAACGUGUAAUGGUGACUCCGGAGGAAGUCAUUACAAGAGCUCUAGAUCCUGUUGCAGCAGUGUUUAGCAGGGAUGGCUUGGCUAAGACAAUAUAUUCUCGUCUGUUUGAUUGGCUUGUGGAAAAAAUUAAUAUUUCAAUUGGGCAGGAUCCGAACUCAAAGUCAAUAAUUGGAGUUCUUGAUAUUUAUGGUUUUGAAAGUUUUAAGUGCAAUAGUUUUGAGCAGUUCUGUAUCAAUUUUACAAACGAGAAGCUGCAACAACAUUUCAACCAGCACAUCUUCAAAAUGGAACAAGAAGAGUAUACCAAGGAGGAAAUCAAUUGGAGCUACAUAGAAUUUGUUGAUAACCAAGAUGUUCUGGAUCUGAUUGAGAAGAAACCAGGAGGAAUAAUUGCACUUCUUGAUGAAGCUUGCAUGUUUCCUAAGUCUACACGAGAAACAUUUGCCCAGAAAUUGUACACAACAUUUAAAAACAAUAAGCGCUUCAGAAAACCAAAGCUUUCUCGUACUGGUUUUACAAUAUCUCACUAUGCAGGGGAGGUAAAUUAUCAAUGCGAUCAGUUCCUGGACAAGAACAAAGAUUAUGUUGUGGCAGAGCAUCAAGAAUUAUUGACUGCCUCAAAGUGCUCCUUUGUUGCUGGGUUGUUUCCUCCACUUCCAGAGGAGUCAUCAAAGUCAUCCAAAUUCUCUUCUAUUGGGGUACGCUUCAAGCUGCAACUUCAAUCUUUGAUGGAAACCUUGAGUUCAACAGAACCUCACUACAUCAGAUGUGUGAAACCAAACAAUGUGCUCAAACCUGCUAUUUUUGAGAACUUGAACAUUAUCAAUCAAUUACGCUGUGGUGGUGUUCUUGAAGCAAUUAGGAUCAGCUGUGCUGGAUAUCCCACUAGACGAACAUUUUAUGAGUUUCUGAACCGUUUUAGUAUUCUUGCCCCAGAUGUUUUGGAGGGAAACUACGAUGACAAGGUUGCAUGCCAAAUGAUUUUAGAUAAAAUGGGAUUGAAAGGUUAUCAGAUAGGUAAGUCAAAAGUCUUCCUGAGAGCUGGUCAGAUGGCUGAGUUGGAUGCACGAAGAACAGAGGUUCUUGGCAAUGCAGCUAGAACCAUUCAAAGACAAAUCCGUACUUACAUUGCUCGCAAAGAAUUCAUCACAUUGCGCAAAGCUGUGAUUCACUUGCAAUCCUGCUUGAGAGGUAAACUGACCCGCAAAUUGUAUGAGCACUUACGACGGGAAGCAGCUGCUGUGAAGAUAGAGAAAAUUUUCCGUCAAUAUGUUGCAAGGAAAUCUUACAAAGCACUGCAGUUGUCUGCAAUCACCUUGCAGACAGGCUUGAGGGCAAUGGCUGCACGCAAUGGUUUCACAUUCAGAAAGCAAACUAAGGCUACGAUCAUUAUCCAGGCUCAUUGGCGUUGCUACAGGGAAUGUUCAUACUAUAAGCGGCUUCAGAAGGCAAUAAUCAUUUCUCAGUGUGGUUGGAGACAAACCGUAGCUAGGAGAGAGCUCAGAAAGCUCAAAAUGGCUGCAAGAGAAACGGGGGCCCUUAAAGAAGCAAAAGAUAAACUGGAAAAGAUGGUGGAGGAGCUUACAUGGCGUUUGCAGUUGGAGAAAAGAAUAAGGACUGACCUAGAAGAGGCAAAAGCCCAAGAAAUUUCCAAGUUACAGGAUGCUUUGCAAGCAAUGCAACUACAAGUAGAAGAGGCAAAUGCAAGGGUUGUAAGAGAACGAGAGGCAGCUCGGAAAGCUAUCGAAGGAGCACCACCAGUGAUUAAGGAAACCCCUGUUAUAGUUCAAGAUACCGCAAAGGUUGAUGCAUUGACUGCUGAAGUUGAGAAUCUGAAGGAAAAGCUGAAAUCAGAACGACAGACAGCAGAAGAAACUAAAAAAGCUCAUGCUGAUGCUCAGGCUCAGGCUAAAAAUGGAGAGCUGAGUAAAAAGCUCGAAGAUGCGGAGCGCAAAGUGGAUCAACUUCAGGAUUCAGUGCAGAGGCUUGAAGAGAAACUGUCCAAUAUAGAGUCAGAGAAUCAAGUACUCCGUCAGCAGGCACUGGCCAUUUCACCAACUAGUAAAGCUUUAUCUGCACAGCAGAAGACAACAGUUAUUCAGAGGACUCCAGAUAAUGGGAAUAUUCUGAGUGGAGAAACAAAGAUGGCAUCAGAUUUGAAUCUUGCUGUAUCUACUCCACGGGAGCCUGAAACAGAGGAAAGGCCGCAAAAAUCACUUAAUGUGAAACAGCAGGAGAACCAAGACCUGCUGAUAAAGUGUAUUUCUCAAGACCUUGGGUUCACUGGGGGCAGACCUGUUGCUGCCUGUAUCAUUUAUAAAUGCCUGCUUCACUGGAGGUCAUUUGAAGUUGAAAGAACCACCGUCUUUGACCGUAUCAUUCAAACAAUAGGCUCAGCUAUUGAGGCCCAGGAUAAUAAUGAUGUACUAGCCUAUUGGUUAUCUAAUUCAUCCACAUUAUUGUUGCUUCUCCAACGCACCCUAAAAGCAAGUGGUGCAUCUAGCUUGGCUCCUCAAAGGCGAAGAUCAGCUUCUCUGUUUGGAAGGAUGUCUCCAGGACUAAGAUCAUCUCCACAAAGUGCUGGGCUCCCAUUUCUUAAUGGUCGGAUGCUCAGUGGAUUGGAUGAUUUGCGAAAAGUUGAAGCCAAAUAUCCUGCUUUACUGUUCAAGCAGCAACUUACAGCGUUCCUUGAGAAGAUAUAUGGAAUGAUAAGGGAUAAUCUGAAAAAAGAGAUCUCUCCAUUGCUUGGAUUGUGUAUACAGGCACCCAGGACAUUCAGGGCAAGUUUAGUGAAAGGACGUUCAAAAGCAAAUGCUGUUGCUCAACAAGCAUUAAUUGCCCACUGGCAGAGCAUUGUGAAAAGUUUGAAUAGUAACUUGAAGAUUAUGAAAGCCAACUUUGUUCCCCCCUUCUUAGUCCGCAAGGUGUUCACUCAGAUAUUCUCUUUCAUCAAUGUUCAGCUAUUCAACAGCCUCCUUUUGCGGCGUGAAUGUUGCUCAUUCAGCAAUGGGGAGUAUGUAAAAGCAGGGUUGGCUGAGUUAGAGCAGUGGUGCUAUGACACCACUGAAGAGUACACUGGUUCAGCUUGGGAUGAAUUGAAGCAUAUCAGACAGGCAGUUGGUUUCCUGGUCAUACAUCAAAAACCUAAGAAAACCCUGAAAGAAGUAACCAGUGACCUCUGCCCAGUAAUGAGCAUACAACAGUUAUACAGGAUCAGUGCCAUGUACUGGGAUGACAAAUAUGGCACACAGAGUGUAUCUUCAGAUGUAAGUAUAGGUUAUUUCGAGUAUGAGAGUUCUGAUGACUGAAGAUUCCAACAAUGCCAUCAGCAAUUCUUUCUUGUUAGAUGAUGACUCGAGCAUACCAUUUUCUGUAGACGACAUCUCCAAAUCAAUGCAGCAGAUAGACAUAGCUGAUAUUGAUCCUCCACCUCUAAUUCGUGAUAACGCUGGGUUUAUAUUUUUAUUGCAAUGGCCAGAAUGAUCCCCAUGAGCAUGGUAGCCCUCUCCCAACUCCUCUUGUCAUCCUUACACCACACUCUGCAUUCCUACAAUCCACUCCUGCAACCUGUGCAUAUAUCUCAAUAUCUGUCUCCAUGUGUAUUGUAUACCAUUCAUCAGCGUUUGUUCUGCAUCCAGAUUUAUUCAUUUUUUACCCCUGUUCCCAUUGAAUGGGGUAUAGGCUUAGAGGUCAUAGUGCUUUAAGUAUGAUAUUGCAAGGAUUAUAGAAACAUACAUGGGGUCCCAGCAACUAAUGGUGACACCUGCAUAGGCAUCGUUUUGUACGUUGUUGUUUUUGGGGUUUUGUCUAUCUUAGCAAUUUGCAUAUAAUUUCUUUCAGCAGCCGCAUUUUGAGGCAAUUAUUUGUUGUAACUAGAUUCCAUUUGUAUGUAAGAUGAUAUAUUAUUUCAUAUGAUUUUCAUGGAUC